AGGCAAUAGAUACCCAGGUAGUCCACGCUGUAAACGAUGUCGACUCGGUGUGUGGUGCGCGUUUUGCGCGCGCUGCGUGCCUUAGCUCACGCGGGAAGUCGACCGCCUGGGGACUACGAGCGCAAGCUUAAAACUCAAAGGAAUUGACGGGGCCCGCACAAGCAGCGGAGCGUGUGGUUUAAUUCGACGUAACGCGCAGAACCUCACCCAGACUGGACAUGGACCUGCACACGCGUGAAAGCGCGGAGCCUUCGAGGGUGGUCCACAGAUGCUGCAUGGCUGUCGUCAGCUCGUGUCGUGAGAUGUUGGGUUAAGUCCCGCAACAAGCGCAACCCCUGCCGUAGUUACUGCGUGUCUACGGGGACGGGCGCCUGGAUGGGCGCAGGAAGGCGGGGAUGAUGUCAAGUCCGCAUGGCUCUUACGUCUGGGGCGACACACACGCUACAAUGGGACGAGUAGUGGGCAGCAAGACCGCAAGGUGGAGCGAAUCCUCAAUCCGU
Molecule: ribosomal RNA, 500 nt
Filed under: uncultured bacterium
Lineage: Bacteria
Description: bacterial SSU rRNA
Rfam family: Bacterial small subunit ribosomal RNA
Source: RNAcentral